UCCGAGGUUUUCUCGGCAGUCUCGCCAGAAAAGUACAACUGGCGACAGGGGUUGCGCUCGUUGCGGGACUUAACCCAACACCUCACGGCACGAGCUGACGACGGCCGUGCAACACCUGUGCAUGCUCCCCGAAGGGUCCCUCAGCUUUCACAUCGGUACCACAUGCGUGUCAAACCUGGGUGAGGUUCUUCGCGUAUCAUCGAAUUAAACCACACGCUCCGCUGCUUGUGCGGGCCCCCGUCAAUUCCUCUGAGUUUUAGCCUUGCGGCCGUAGUCCCCAGGCGGAGUACUUAUCGCGUUAGCUUCGGCACAGAGGGGGUCGAUACCCCCUACACCUAGCAUCCACCGUUUAGGGCGUGGACUAC
Molecule: unclassified non-coding RNA, 365 nt
Filed under: uncultured Chloroflexota bacterium
Lineage: Bacteria; Bacillati; Chloroflexota
Description: uncultured Chloroflexi bacterium contains 16S-23S intergenic spacer region
Source: RNAcentral